RNAcentral lists this ribosomal RNA (926 nucleotides) under uncultured Bacteroidota bacterium. RNAcentral describes it as "bacterial SSU rRNA". It matches the Rfam family "Bacterial small subunit ribosomal RNA", at positions 1 to 922 of the family's 1533-position model. Lineage: Bacteria; Pseudomonadati; Bacteroidota. The record is from RNAcentral.
CCUGACUGUGAUUCUGGCUCAGGAUGAACGCUGGCUACGGGCUUAACACAUGCAAGUCGAGGGGAAACGACAUCGAAAGCUUGCUUCUGAUGGGCGUCGACCGGCGCACGGGUGAGUAACGCGUAUCCAACCUGCCCAUCACUUGGGGAUAACCUUGCGAAAGUAAGACUAAUACCCAAUGACAUCCAUAGAAGACAUCUGAAAUGGAUUAAAGAUUUAUCGGUGAUGGAUGGGGAUGCGUCUGAUUAGCUUGUUGGCGGGGUAACGGCCCACCAAGGCGACGAUCAGUAGGGGUUCUGAGAGGAAGGUCCCCCACAUUGGAACUGAGACACGGUUCAAACUCCUACGGGAGGCAGCAGUGAGGAAUAUUGGUCAAUGGGCGAGAGCCUGAACCAGCCAAGUAGCGUGCAGGAUGACGGCCCUAUGGGUUGUAAACUGCUUUUAUAAGGGAAUAAAGUGAGUCUCGUGAGACUUUUUGCAUGUACCUUAUGAAUAAGGACCGGCUAAUUCCGUGCCAGCAGCCGCGGUAAUACGGAAGGUCCGGGCGUUAUCCGGAUUCAUUGGGUUUAAAGGGAGCGUAGGCCGGAGAUUAAGCGUGUUGUGAAAUGUAGAGGCUCAACCUCUGCACUGCAGCGCGAACUGGUCUUCUUGAGUACGCACAACGUGGGCGGAAUUCGUGGUGUAGCGGUGAAAUGCUUAGAUAUCACGAAGAACUCCGAUUGCGAAGGCAGCUCACGGGAGCGCAACUGACGCUGAAGCUCGAAAGUGCGGGUAUCGAACAGGAUUAGAUACCCUGGAAGUCCGCACGGUAACCGAUGGAUGCCCGCUGUUGGUCUGAAUAGGUCAGCGGCCAAGCGAAAGCAUUAAGCAUCCCACCUGGGGAGUACGCCGGCAACGGUGCAACUCAAAUGAAUGGAUCGAAGGUG